Long non-coding RNA from Phasianus colchicus (ring-necked pheasant), 600 nucleotides. RefSeq lists it as uncharacterized. NCBI's taxonomy places the organism in Eukaryota, Metazoa, Chordata, Aves, Galliformes, Phasianidae. The record is from RefSeq and is a predicted model, not a curated record.
GGGAGGUGGUCUUGUGGGAGCAAUCUGUCUCAACUGCCUACAGCAUUUAUUUUAGAAUGGAAUGAAUCACUUUCUGGAGAAGUCUGAAGCAGAAGAAGCAGACUUGAAAGUCCGGACGCUAUCUCCAAGCAAUUGGAAGACAAGGAGGUUAUCAGGAGUAGUCAAAGUAGAUUCACCGAGGGGAAAUCAUGCUUGACCAACCUGGUAGCCUUCUAUGAUGUCAUCAGUGGCUGGGUAGAUGGGGGGAAAGCAGUAGAUGUUGUGUACCUUGACUUCAGCAAGACAUUUUAGACUGUCUCCUACAACAUCCUUGUUAUGAAACUCACAUUUUCUAAGAUAGGAAAGACAUGGACAUAUUCAAGCACGUCCAGUGAAGGGUCAUGAAGAUGAUUAAGGUUCUGGGACAUCUGGCAUAUAAACUGAGACUGAGAGAGCCUGAACUAUUUAGCCUCAAGGUGAAAAAGUUGUGAGGUAUUGAUAGAAUCAUAUUCAUAUACAUAAGUAUCUGAUAGAAGGGAGUAAAGAAGACAAAGCCAGACUUCUGAGUGAAGUGUGUACAAACUGAAAAGCAGAGAAUUUCCUUUAAAGACAGGGACAGGC